CUUGGUCAUUUAGAGGAAGUAAAAGUCGUAACAAGGUAUCUGUAGGUGAACCUGCAGAUGGAUCAUUUUGAUGAAAAACCUUUUUUUUCUGAGGUGUGGCUCGCACCUGUCCAACUAAACCUGAGCUACCUUUUUUAUAUAACACGGUUGCAUCGGUCGGUCUGUCGAAACCAGUAGCGCUCAUAGCGAGCAGCGUCUGGGGAAAGACGGGUCGGCGCUUCUUACCAACACUUUUGAACACUAGGAUUGGAAGGACAAAAAUCAUUUUUUUGAUGAUGGAAGCGACUGGUAAUGCGGUCGUCUAAAUUGAAAAAACAACUUUUGGCAACGGAUCUCUUGGUUCUCCCAUCGAUGAAGAACGCAGCGAAUUGCGAUAAGUAAUGUGAAUUGCAGAAGUGAAUCAUCGAAUCUUUGAACGCACCUUGCGCUCCCGGCAGAUUUAAUCUGGGGAGCAUGCCUGUUUGAGGGCCGCGAAUUGUUUCGAACGACAGCUUUUUUUUCUUGUUGAGAAAGAGCUGGCGGAUCGGUAGUGAGGGUCUCUGCCAUUUACCGUGGCUCCCUCGAAAUGCAUUAGCGCAUCCAUUGGAAGGCGGAAAGACGGACGAAAGCUCGAGUUUUUUUGCCCUCGCUUCCCUGCCGGGUUUUGAUAAUGUCAGGACUUCGGAGGCGAAGAGAGGGCGAGAGCUGGACGCAACGACUUUUCUGCUGUUUGGCGUGCUUCUGAACCCCGCCCAUGCCUCUGCUUUAACCACAGAGGAAGGGAUUUAUUUUUCAAUUCAUCGGCCUCAGAUUGGUAGGACUACCCGCUGAACUUAAGCAUAUCAAUAAGCGGAGGAAAAGAAACUAACAAGGAUUCCCCUAGUAACGGCGAGUGAAGAGGGAAGAGCCCAAGAUUGAAAGCUGGCGUCUUCGGCGUCCGCAUUGUAAUCUCAAGAAGUGUUUUCCGCUUCGGACCAUGCCUAAGUCCCUUGGAAAAGGGCAUCAUAGAGGGUGAUAAUCCCGUACAUGGCAUGGAGCGCCCGUAGCUUUGUGAUACGCUUUCUAAGAGUCGAGUUGUUUGGGAAU
Molecule: small RNA, 1065 nt
Filed under: uncultured Pseudozyma
Lineage: Eukaryota; Fungi; Basidiomycota; Ustilaginomycetes; Ustilaginales; Ustilaginaceae
Description: eukaryotic LSU rRNA
Rfam family: Eukaryotic large subunit ribosomal RNA (bases 781-1065)
Source: RNAcentral